CAUUAAUAAGUUGAGAGACGGGUGUAAUUUUUUUAUGAUUAGGUAUGGUACCUUUUGCAUCAUGAUUCGCUGAUAUAGUCUUAAGGAUUUAGGGGCUCGAAGGGUUACGAUUAUCAUUCAAUAUGUUUAGGACUUAUACCUAGGUGGGUAAUUUUUUGGAUAAUUGUUUGAGGUGUUGAAAAAUAAUUCGUGUAAUCUGAUAGCUAGUUGGGAAGGAAUAUUAUAUAGUAUACUUUGUUGCGAAGCGGUGAUGGAGUGUAUAAGAAAUGUGUUGUAAUGUUAUAGUGGGUCUAGGGUCAGAGUUACCCUUGAUUUAUUAGUAUGUUACUAUAAGAUGUUUUGGAUUAUGCGUUUUUAGUCUUUUACUUCUCGUAGUGAAUUAGUUAGUAGUAUUAAUGGUGGAAUAAGUAGAGUUAGUAGUGUCUCUUUUUUUUCUCGGUGCUUGUCGGUCUGUUUUUCAAAAACAUUUCUAUUUGUGAUGGUUAAAUAGUAGGACCUGCCCUAUGUUUAUAUAAAUGGCCGCAGUAUAUUGACUGUGCAAAGGUAGCAUAAUUAAUUGUCUCGUAAUUGGGGAAUUGUUUGAAUGGUUUAACCAGAUGAGAGGGAAGAUGAGAGAGUUGUUUGAAAUUGGAUGUUUGGUGCAGAUUCCAAAGGUGAUUAGUAGGACGGAAAGACCCCGAGAGCUUUAUAUUAGAAUAUUUAUUUGGGGCAGAGGUAAAUUAUUUAUUUAUUUUAUGAUCCUAGAAGGGUAAAAGGUGUAAGUUACCUCGGGGAUAACUAGGUAAGAGAUAAGGAGAGGUCAGAUCGAUUGAUCGAUUUAUUUAUUUGCCAUCUCGAUGUUGAUUUAAAGUAAUAUGAGGGCGCAGAAGUUCUUGUAUAUGGUCUGUUCGACCAUAGUACUUUUCAUGAAUUGAGUUAAGACCGGUGUAAGCCAGGUCGGUUCUUAUCUGUUAUUCUUGCGAGUUAGUACGAAAGGAUUGCUCGUGGUUUAUGUU
This 995-nucleotide ribosomal RNA is filed under the name Paramphistomum leydeni. RNAcentral's name for it is "16S ribosomal RNA". The stretch from base 659 to 953 matches the Rfam family "Archaeal large subunit ribosomal RNA", at positions 2150 to 2716 of the family's 2987-position model. The record is from RNAcentral. Lineage: Eukaryota; Metazoa; Platyhelminthes; Trematoda; Plagiorchiida; Paramphistomidae.